This 253-nucleotide ribosomal RNA is filed under the name uncultured bacterium. Its description in RNAcentral is "partial 16S ribosomal RNA". It matches the Rfam family "Bacterial small subunit ribosomal RNA", at positions 524 to 776 of the family's 1533-position model. The record is from RNAcentral.
UACGUAGGGGGCAAGCGUUAUCCGGAAUUACUGGGCGUAAAGCGCACGCAGGCGGUUCGCCAAGUCUGGAGUGACAGUUGUCGGCUCAACCGACAAAGGACUUCAAAAACUGGUGAACUUGAGGACGAGAGAGGAACAUGGAACUCCAGGUGUAGUAGUGAAAUGCGUAGAUAUCUGGAAGAACACCAAUGGCGAAGGCAAUGUUCUGGCUCGUUUCUGACGCUCAGGUGCGAAAGCCAGGGGAGCGAACGGG